This 243-nucleotide ribosomal RNA is filed under the name uncultured Actinomycetales bacterium. Its description in RNAcentral is "partial 16S ribosomal RNA". It matches the Rfam family "Bacterial small subunit ribosomal RNA", at positions 88 to 334 of the family's 1533-position model. Lineage: Bacteria; Bacillati; Actinomycetota; Actinomycetes; Actinomycetales. The record is from RNAcentral.
UACUCGAGUGGCGAACGGGUGAGUAACACGUGGGUGAUCUGCCCUGCACUUCGGGAUAAGUCUGGGAAACUGGGUCUAAUACCGGAUAGGAGCCAUUUUUAGUGUGAUGGUUGGAAAGUUUUUUCGGUGUAGGAUGAGCUCGCGGCCUAUCAGCUUGUUGGUGGGGUAAUGGCCUACCAAGGCGGCGACGGGUAGCCGGCCUGAGAGGGUGGACGGCCACAUUGGGACUGAGAUACGGCCCAG